Long non-coding RNA from Parambassis ranga (Indian glassy fish), 1086 nucleotides. The record is from Ensembl. Lineage: Eukaryota; Metazoa; Chordata; Actinopteri; Ambassidae.
AUUGGUGGCUGGAGUUCAGGAAGUUCAGCUGCUUCUUGUGCGUUUGUGUAGCUGUGUUACGGUCAUUGUCUGCAGUCAGUCAGGUUGUAACACCAGUGCUGUCGGGUUCCGUUUGUUCUGGUGACUUCAGAUAAGCACUGGGAGCCGGACUGACAAACAUCAGCAGCCCAGGGUGGGAUCUGUUCCACUGGGUCCAAAUGCCUGCAGUUCACCUGAUGAUCAAGAUCCUGCUGCUCCUCUUCAUCACCUCACAUGUCAGUGCAUUUAAAGUGAAGGUGACACAGAGACACUAUGAGGCAAAAGAGAACAGCAACAUCACACUGGAGUGGACGAUCACCACAGACAAUGAGACUAAGACUGAGGACAUUCAUGUCCUCUGUGAUCAUUUUACCAAACAGAAAGUAUCAGUCCUGUAUCUGGUCCAUGCUGGUGUUGAGCUCUCAGAGUCUGUGGAUGAAGUUUUUUCAGGAAGAGUCCAGAGUAACACAGACGCCCUCAGAGAAGGACGAAUCAGACUUCAUCUGUCCAGACUCAGGACUGAAGACUCUGGUCUGUAUGUGUGUUCAGUGAGGACAGCUUCUGGUUCUGGCUCUGACAUAUGUGGUCUCAAUGUUAUUGCAGCAGCAUUUGAAGUGAAGGUGACACAGAGCUCCUAUCAGGCAGAGGAGAACCACAACAUCACACUGGAGUGGACGUUCCCAGCUGAGGUCUCCACCAUCAGGAUUUUCAUCUACUGUGAAUUUUUAAAAGAAAGAAAUAUAUUCUGCCUGUAUGAUGUCUACGAAGGUUUCGAGAAGCCAGGCUCUCAGCAUAAACGUUUUUCAGGAAGAGUCCAGAGUGACACAGACGCCCUCAGAGAAGGACGAAUCAGACUUCAUCUGUCCAGACUCAGGACUGAAGACUCUGGUCUGUAUGUGUGUGAUGUGAGGACAGCUUCUGGUUCUGGUUCUUCCAGCUGUGAGCUCACAGUCUCUGCAGCUGCUGCUCAGACACACACUGACAGACCAGCUCUGAGUCCAGCUCUGGGUCCACCAGCAGGGAGAGGAGGACAGACAAGACACCAUUAUGGACCGAUAGUAGCAGGAG